GUUUGGGGCUGGGUCUUUGCGGGCGAGAUGAGAAGUUUCUGCCUUCAACUGGCCUACAAAGUCCCAGUUCUCGGC
Ophiophagus hannah (king cobra) is the source of this 75-nucleotide microRNA precursor. It matches the Rfam family "mir-193 microRNA precursor family". NCBI's taxonomy places the organism in Eukaryota, Metazoa, Chordata, Lepidosauria, Squamata, Elapidae. The record is from Rfam.